UACGUAGGGGGCUAGCGUUGUCCGGAUUUAUUGGGCGUAAAGAGCGUGUAGGCGGCCAGGUAGGUCUGGUGUGAAAACUCGAGGCUUAACCUCGAGAUGUCAUCGGAAACCAUCUGGCUAGAGUCCGGAAGAGGAGAGUGGAAUUCCUGGUGUAGCGGUGAAAUGCGCAGAUAUCAGGAGGAACACCAAUGGCGAAGGCAGCACUCUGGGACGUGACUGACGCUGAGACGCGAAAGCGUGGGGAGCGAACAGG
This 253-nucleotide ribosomal RNA is filed under the name uncultured bacterium. Its description in RNAcentral is "partial 16S ribosomal RNA". It matches the Rfam family "Bacterial small subunit ribosomal RNA", at positions 524 to 776 of the family's 1533-position model. The record is from RNAcentral.